This is a long non-coding RNA of Asparagus officinalis (garden asparagus), 233 nucleotides long. RefSeq lists it as uncharacterized. The transcript has 3 exons. The record is from RefSeq and is a predicted model, not a curated record. NCBI's taxonomy places the organism in Eukaryota, Viridiplantae, Streptophyta, Magnoliopsida, Asparagales, Asparagaceae.
UGAGAUGGAUUUGUCUAGUGAUGAUCCCGCUAGCGACGGAGGAGAGCGUGGGGAUAGCGAAUGAGUCCUGAUCCUACUCCUCAUGAUUGUGUAUUUUCUGGUGAGCCUGACUCACCAUACCAGGUAGAAAAGCCUGCAGAAGCUACCGACGUUAGGGAGACCAUCAAUGUAGGACUCGAUUCAACGAAUCCAGACAAAUUGCAGGAGGCAAACGUGGAUUUUGGGAAUAGAGA